CAUCUGGGGAAUGGCUUGGCUCGAGUGCCGAUGAAGGUCGUGACAAGCUGCGAUAAGCUACGGGGAGACGCAUGAAUGUCUGCGAUCCGUAGAUUGCCUAAUAGGACCUCCUGACUCUAGCAGUCAAUCGCAUUAGCGAUAGGGAACCCCCUGAAUUGAAGCAUCUUAGUAGGGGGAGGAAAAGAAAUCAAAAGAGAUUCCGUGAGUAGUGGCGAACGAAAACGGAACAGAGCAAACCGAAUCCGGAAUGGAAACUGAAGGAAAUGUGGUGUGUUCGUCUGUAGCCUAAGUUCGUGAAGGAGAAGUCGCCUGGAAUGGCGCAGCCAGAGAGGGUGAAAGUCCCGUAUCCGUAACGAAUAUGGCCAAGUGACGCAACCAGAGUAGCGUGCGUUGGAUAUCGCGCGUGAAUGUGGGACGCAGAAAGUUCCAACUCUAAAUACAACUCGAGACCGAUAGUUUACAAGUAACGUGAGUGAAAGCUGAAAAGUAUCCUUAGCGGGAUGUGAAAAGAACCUGAAACCAGAUGGGUACAGGCUGAUAGGGCGUGAAAGCGAAGAUAUGAGCAGCGUCCUAUCGUGCGUUUAGAAAAAUGCCCCUGGGAGUCUUGAUCAUUGGCGAGGUUAAGUGGUUGAUCCACGAAGCCGUAGGGAAACCGACAAGUCCGCAGCAGUUUACUGUGAGGGACGAAGUGUGCUCGCUUGGAGUCAAUGGUGGAGGACCUGAAGCCUGUCGAUCUAUGCCUGGCCAGACUGAAGCCCGGUGAAAACUGGGUGGAGGGUCGAACCGUUGCUGAUCUGCAAAUCGCUCGGACGAGUUGGGUAUAGGGGUGAAAGUCCAAUCGAGAUAGGCAAUAGCAGGUUCCGCGUGAAA
Molecule: ribosomal RNA, 870 nt
Filed under: Methanobacteriota archaeon
Lineage: Archaea; Methanobacteriati; Methanobacteriota
Description: bacterial LSU rRNA
Rfam family: Archaeal large subunit ribosomal RNA
Source: RNAcentral